This 396-nucleotide ribosomal RNA is filed under the name uncultured bacterium. RNAcentral's name for it is "partial 16S ribosomal RNA". It matches the Rfam family "Bacterial small subunit ribosomal RNA", at positions 523 to 918 of the family's 1533-position model. The record is from RNAcentral.
AUACGUAGGGAGCGAGCGUUGUCCGGAAUUACUGGGUGUAAAGGGAGCGUAGGCGGGAGUGCAAGUCAGAUGUGAAAUACAUGGGCUCAACCCAUGGGCUGCAUUUGAAACUGCAUUUCUUGAGUGAAGUAGAGGUAAGCGGAAUUCCUGUGUAGCGGUGAAAUGCGUAGAUAUCAGGAGGAACACCGGUGGCGAAGGCGGCUUACUGGGCUUUUACUGACACUGAGGCUCGAAAGCGUGGGGAGCAAACAGGAUUAGAUACCCUGGUAGUCCACGCUGUAAACGAUGAAUACUAGGUGUAGGGGGUAUCGACUCCCUCUGUGCCGCAGUUAACACAAUAAGUAUUCCGCCUGGGGAGUACGGCCGCAAGGUUGAAACUCAAAUGAAUUGACGGGG